UACGUAGGGUGCGAGCGUUGUCCGGAAUUACUGGGCGUAAAGAGCUCGUAGGUGGUUUGUCGCGUUGUCCGUGAAAACUCACAGCUUAACUGUGGGCGUGCGGGCGAUACGGGCAGACUGGAGUACUGCAGGGGAGACUGGAAUUCCUGGUGUAGCGGUGAAAUGCGCAGAUAUCAGGAGGAACACCGGUGGCGAAGGCGGGUCUCUGGGCAACAACUGACGCUGAGGAGCGAAAGCGUGGGGAGCGAACAGG
Molecule: ribosomal RNA, 253 nt
Filed under: uncultured bacterium
Lineage: Bacteria
Description: partial 16S ribosomal RNA
Rfam family: Bacterial small subunit ribosomal RNA
Source: RNAcentral